This is a non-coding RNA of Drosophila melanogaster (fruit fly), 885 nucleotides long. Lineage: Eukaryota; Metazoa; Arthropoda; Insecta; Diptera; Drosophilidae. The record is from Ensembl.
UUUGUUAUGGGCUUAAAUAAAAGAAAAAGUUGUUGUUCCUGAUUUGUCAGUAUUAUUCAAUACAUCAAAAUCGAGUAUGCCCAAGUUGGGCUUUACAGGGUACCAGCCGCACUUCUGGGCAACAUGUAAUGAAACGGAAGAUACAAUUAUAUUGAGGCAAGCAGGGCAACAACGAGGAGCCUGUCUCGUACUGGCAGUCUCCUCCUUGUCCCGAUACCCUCCUCCCUCCUCCCUCCGCCCCUUUGGCUCUUUUGGCUACCGAAGAUUUAUGACAAUGCUGAAGUCAACUAGACUCGAAGACCGUCUGCCCAGCCCAGUCCCUCCCCUUGCUGUUCCACCCUGCCCCGUACCCAUCGCCAAACUAGCCUCCUUUGCAGAAACAAUCCCCUUGCGCCUCCUGGCUCUUCGAGUCCGUGUCCUUGCUCUUGUUCUGGUUCUUGUCCUUGGGCCACAACGUCGCCGCAUAAUCAAUUAGCAAAAAGUCGACAGCAACAGCAAGGAAAGUUCCCACUAUACCCAUAUCUAUUCGACGCCCACGCAACGUCACGCCCACUUUUUUUGCACCACUAGGUCAUGUCAAGUUGGGAAAAUCGCAAUGGAAGAAAAGUCGGCAGUUUUUAUGGGCCACAUAAGGUUUUGAUGUAAAGUAAUGGAGCCCAAUAUAUGCCUGGAUAUAUAACUAAGAAAUUCAAUUAAAAUGUUACCAAUUAUAAGAUUUUACCGCUUUUUAAUGAUAUAUGCACAUUCCAAUAAAUCGGAAGCAGUGAACUGAGUGUCGCCUGGAUGUUUGCAAAUCUCUCAAAAUAUUGUGAAAAUUGUUGACUAAUCUAUUUUGAGGAAGUGACUCCAGCUAAGAGAUCUCAACCAACUUGAUCCAUUCUCAAC